This 85-nucleotide transfer RNA is filed under the name Felis catus (domestic cat). It matches the Rfam family "tRNA". Rfam says of the family: Transfer RNA (tRNA) molecules are approximately 80 nucleotides in length. Their secondary structure includes four short double-helical elements and three loops (D, anti-codon, and T loops). Further hydrogen bonds mediate the characteristic L-shaped molecular structure. tRNAs have two regions of fundamental functional importance: the anti-codon, which is responsible for specific mRNA codon recognition, and the 3' end, to which the tRNAs corresponding amino acid is attached (by aminoacyl-tRNA synthetases). tRNAs cope with the degeneracy of the genetic code in two manners: having more than one tRNA (with a specific anti-codon) for a particular amino acid; and 'wobble' base-pairing, i.e. permitting non-standard base-pairing at the 3rd anti-codon position. The record is from Rfam by way of RNAcentral. Lineage: Eukaryota; Metazoa; Chordata; Mammalia; Carnivora; Felidae.
GCCUGGGUGGCUCAGUCGGUUGAGCGUCUGACUUCAGCUCAGGUCACGAUCUCACGGUCCGUGAGUUCGAGCCCCGCGUCAGGCU